CAGUCGCCGCGGGAAUACAGAGGGUGCAAGCGUUAAUCGGAAUUACUGGGCGUAAAGCGCGCGUAGGUGGUUUGUUAAGUUGGAUGUGAAAUCCCCGGGCUCAACCUGGGAACUGCAUUCAAAACUGACUGACUAGAGUAUGGUAGAGGGUGGUGGAAUUUCCUGUGUAGCGGUGAAAUGCGUAGAUAUAGGAAGGAACACCAGUGGCGAAGGCGACCACCUGGACUAAUACUGACACUGAGGUGCGAAAGCGUGGGGAGCAAACAGGAUUAGAUACCCCUGUAGUCCCUGUCUCUUAUAA
Molecule: ribosomal RNA, 301 nt
Filed under: uncultured bacterium
Lineage: Bacteria
Description: partial 16S ribosomal RNA
Rfam family: Bacterial small subunit ribosomal RNA
Source: RNAcentral